UCGGGAAUUUUGGGCAAUGGGCGCAAGCCUGACCCAGCAACGCCGCGUGAGGGAUGAAGGCCUUCGGGUCGUAAACCUCUGUCAGGAGGGAAGAACGUCGUCGGGUGAAUAAUCCGGCGAUCUGACGGUACCUCCAAAGGAAGCACCGGCUAACUCCGUGCCAGCAGCCGCGGUAAUACGGAGGGUGCAAGCGUUGUUCGGAAUCAUUGGGCGUAAAGCGGGGGUAGGCGGUUUGGCAAGUCGGAUGUGAAAUCCCAGGGCCCAACCCUGGAACUGCAUUCGAAACUGCCUCACUAGAGUCCCGGAGAGGAUGGCGGAAUUCCCGGUGUAGAGGUGAAAUUCGUAGAUAUCGGGAGGAACACCAGUGGCGAAGGCGGCCAUCUGGACGGUGACUGACGCUGAGACCCGAAAGUGUGGGGAGCAAACAGGAUUAGAUACCCGUGUAGUCC
Molecule: ribosomal RNA, 449 nt
Filed under: uncultured prokaryote
Description: bacterial SSU rRNA
Rfam family: Bacterial small subunit ribosomal RNA
Source: RNAcentral